RNAcentral lists this ribosomal RNA (253 nucleotides) under uncultured bacterium. RNAcentral describes it as "partial 16S ribosomal RNA". It matches the Rfam family "Bacterial small subunit ribosomal RNA", at positions 524 to 776 of the family's 1533-position model. The record is from RNAcentral.
UACAGAGGGUGCGAGCGUUAAUCGGAAUUACUGGGCGUAAAGCGCGCGUAGGCGGCUUUGCAAGUCGGGUGUGAAAUCCCCAGGCUUAACCUGGGAACUGCAUUCGAGACUGCAUUGCUAGAGUAUGGGAGAGGGAAGUGGAAUUUCCGGUGUAGCGGUGAAAUGCGUAGAUAUCGGGAGGAACACCAGUGGCGAAGGCGGUUGCCUGGGGCUGUGCUGACGCUGAUGCGCGAAAGCGUGGGGAGCGAUCCGG